RNAcentral lists this ribosomal RNA (627 nucleotides) under Triticum aestivum (bread wheat). RNAcentral describes it as "partial small subunit ribosomal RNA". Lineage: Eukaryota; Viridiplantae; Streptophyta; Magnoliopsida; Poales; Poaceae. The record is from RNAcentral.
AUGCAAAAUGCAUUGUUGAAGCUGUGGGCAAUGGUUGAAGAUAGCAAAAGUGCUAGGGUGAAUGAUAAUCUUGAAAGUUCUUUCACUAUCCACCAUCUGACAGAAGAGAAGAACAACCUGGAGGCCAACUAUGACAAGCUAGUCCAAGAUGUGCAUCAGCUUAUGAGCUUCCAGGAGGAUAGGGUGGUGGAUUUCAGACAUCUGCAGUCUGCCAUUACAUAUCAGCAUGAAUGCAGAAGUGAACUGGUGGCUGAUAUGAAUGCACAGAUGACAAAGAAAGAUGCAGAGUUUGAGAAGUUUAAGCAGAAUUAUGAUGUGCUACUGAACCUGACAAGAGCUCAAGCUACAGUCAUCCAGAACCUGAAGUUGAAGCAUAUUACUGAUAAGCAAUUGCUUACUGAAGCUAAGAUGAACUUGGAGUUGAAGAAUGCAGAGCUCACAAAGUCUGAGGAGAAGCUCACCCAAGAUAAGCUAGAGUUGAAGUUUCAGGUUACUGAUUUGCUCAAGGGAAAGGAAAAGCAUGGUGAAGAGAAGGGGCAGCUAGAGCUUCAGAUUGCUGAGCUGAUUAAGGCAGAGGAGAAGCUGAAGGAGAAGAUCAAGGGGAUCCAGGCCAUCUUAGAGAAGUGA